UACGUAGGGGGCAAGCGUUGUCCGGAUUUAUUGGGCGUAAAGAGCUCGUAGGUGGUUUGGUAAGUCGGAUGUGAAAUCUCCAGGCUCAACCUGGAGGGGUCAUUCGAUACUGCCAUGACUAGAGGUCGGUAGGGGAGUGUGGAAUUCCUGGUGGAGCGGUGAAAUGCGCAGAUAUCAGGAGGAACACCGGUGGCGAAGGCGGAUCUCUGGGCCGUAACUGACGCUGAGGAGCGAAAGCAUGGGGAGCGAACAGG
RNAcentral lists this ribosomal RNA (254 nucleotides) under uncultured bacterium. Its description in RNAcentral is "partial 16S ribosomal RNA". It matches the Rfam family "Bacterial small subunit ribosomal RNA", at positions 524 to 776 of the family's 1533-position model. The record is from RNAcentral.